This is a non-coding RNA of Salmo salar (Atlantic salmon), 73 nucleotides long. Lineage: Eukaryota; Metazoa; Chordata; Actinopteri; Salmoniformes; Salmonidae. The record is from Rfam.
UCCCGUGUGGCUCAGUUGGUAGAGCAUGGUGUUUGCAACGCCAGGGUUGUGGGUUCGAUUCCCACGGGGGGAC